This 497-nucleotide ribosomal RNA is filed under the name uncultured bacterium. RNAcentral's name for it is "partial 16S ribosomal RNA". It matches the Rfam family "Bacterial small subunit ribosomal RNA", at positions 28 to 507 of the family's 1533-position model. The record is from RNAcentral.
GAUGAACGCUGGCGGCGUGCCUAAUACAUGCAAGUCGAGCGAACAGACGAGGAGCUUGCUCUUCUGACGUUAGUGGCGGACGGGUGAGUAACACGUGGGUAACCUACCUAUAAGAGUGGGAUAACUUCGGGAAACGGGAGCUAAUACCGGAUAAUAUAUUGAACCGCAUGGUACAAUAGUGAAAGAUGCAAUUGCUUCACCUCAUAGAGGGAUCCGCGCCGCAUUAGCUAGUUGGUAAGUUAACGGCUUACCAAGGGAAGGAUGAGUAGCCGACCUGAGAGGGUGAUCGGCCACACGGGACUUGGGACACGGCCCAGCCUCCUACGGGAGGCACCAGUGGGGAACCUUCGGCAAUGGGCGAAGUCCUGCCGGAGCAACCCCGCGUGGGUGAUGAAGUUUUUCGGAUCGUAAACCUCUGUUAUUAGGGAGGAACAAAUGUGUAAGUAACUAUGCACGUCUUGACGGUACCUAAUCAGAAAGCCACGGCUAACUACGUG